This 433-nucleotide ribosomal RNA is filed under the name uncultured bacterium. RNAcentral describes it as "bacterial SSU rRNA". It matches the Rfam family "Bacterial small subunit ribosomal RNA", at positions 608 to 1042 of the family's 1533-position model. The record is from RNAcentral.
CUAAACUGAGGAAAGUUCGUCGAAACUGAUAGGCUAGAGGGACGUAGAGGGAGGCGGAACUCUUGGAGUAGCGGUGAAAUGCGUAGAUACCAAGAGGUACCUCGAUGGCGAAGGCAGCCUCCUGGGCGUUCCCUGACGCUGAAGCGCUAAGGCCAGGGGAGCAAAGGGGAUUAGAUACCCCCGUAGUCCUGGCUGCAAACGAUGUGGGCUUGGUAUCGGGCCAUUAAUAGGUUCGUUGCCGGAGUUAACGCGUUAAGCUCACCGCCUGGGGAUUACGUCCGCAAGGAUGAAACUCAAGGGAAUUGACGGGGGCCCACACAACCGGUGGAGCACGUGGUUUAAUUCGAUGAUAAGCGAAGAACCUUACCAGGGCUUGACAUGCCGGUGGUAGAACCCUGAAAGGGGACCGACCUUGGACUUUGUCCAAGGAGCC